AGCUACAGGCUUAACACAUGCAAGUCGAGGGGCAGCAUGGUCUUAGCUUGCUAAGGCCGAUGGCGACCGGCGCACGGGUGAGUAACACGUAUCCAACCUGCCGUCUACUCUUGGACAGCCUUCUGAAAGGAAGAUUAAUACAAGAUGGCAUCAUGAGUCCACAUGUUCACAUGAUUAAAGGUAUUCCGGUAGACGAUGGGGAUGCGUUCCAUUAGAUAGUAGGCGGGGUAACGGCCCACCUAGUCUUCGAUGGAUAGGGGUUCUGAGAGGAAGGUCCCCCACAUUGGAACUGAGACACGGUCCAAACUCCUACGGGAGGCAGCAGUGAGGAAUAUUGGUCAAUGGGCGAGAGCCUGAACCAGCCAAGUAGCGUGAAGGAUGACUGCCCUAUGGGUUGUAAACUUCUUUUAUAAAGGAAUAAAGUCGGGUAUGCAUACCCGUUUGCAUGUACUUUAUGAAUAAGGAUCGGCUAACUCCGUGCCAGCAGCCGCGGUAAUACGGAGGAUCCGAGCGUUAUCCGGAUUUAUUGGGUUUAAAGGGAGCGUAGAUGGAUGUUUAAGUCAGUUGUGAAAGUUUGCGGCUCAACCGUAAAAUUGCAGUUGAUACUGGAUAUCUUGAGUGCAGUUGAGGCAGGCGGAAUUCGCGGUGUAGCGGUGAAAUGCUUAGAUAUCACGAAGAACUCCGAUUGCGAAGGCAGCCUGCUAAGCUGCAACUGACAUUGAGGCUCGAAAGUGUGGGUAUCAAACAGGAUUAGAUACCCUGGUAGUCCACACGGUAAACGAUGAAUACUCGCUGUUUGCGAUAUACAGCAAGCGGCCAAGCGAAAGCGUUAAGUAUUCCACCUGGGGAGUACGCCGGCAACGGUGAAACUCAAAGGAAUUGACGGGGGCCCGCACAAGCGGAGGAACAUGUGGUUUAAUUCGAUGAUACGCGAGGAACCUUACCCGGGCUUAAAUUGCAGAUGAAUUACGGUGAAAGCCGUAAGCCGCAAGGCAUCUGUGAAGGUGCUGCAUGGUUGUCGUCAGCUCGUGCCGUGAGGUGUCGGCUUAAGUGCCAUAACGAGCGCAACCCUUGUUGUCAGUUACUAACAGGUCAUGCUGAGGACUCUGACAAGACUGCCAUCGUAAGAUGUGAGGAAGGUGGGGAUGACGUCAAAUCAGCACGGCCCUUACGUCCGGGGCUACACACGUGUUACAAUGGGGGGUACAGAGGGCCGCUACCACGCGAGUGGAUGCCAAUCCCAAAAACCUCUCUCAGUUCGGACUAGAGUCUGCAACCCGACUCCACGAAGCUGGAUUCGCUAGUAAUCGCGCAUCAGCCACGGCGCGGUGAAUACGUUCCCGGGCCUUGUACACACCGCCCGUCAAGCCAUGGGAGCCGGGGGUACCUGAAGUGCGUAACCGCGAGGAGCGCCCUAGGGUAAAACUGGUGACUGGGGCUAAGUCGUA
This 1448-nucleotide ribosomal RNA is filed under the name uncultured organism. Its description in RNAcentral is "SSU rRNA". It matches the Rfam family "Bacterial small subunit ribosomal RNA". The record is from RNAcentral.